RNA transcript from Cervus elaphus (red deer), 2120 nucleotides. It is a transcript of the gene named apolipoprotein L6-like, with no coding region annotated. NCBI's taxonomy places the organism in Eukaryota, Metazoa, Chordata, Mammalia, Artiodactyla, Cervidae. The record is from RefSeq and is a predicted model, not a curated record. The transcript has 5 exons.
AUCAGAGCCUCGGGUCUUUCCAUGAUGAGCAAAACCAGCUGGAGACUCUGCACUGUGUGUUUGUCCUCCUGCAGCCUAGACGCUCACAGCCCCCCGUUGGAUUUGAGGCCCCUGGAGGGGAGAAGAAGGAAGGCCCUUGGGACCUGAGGCCACGGAGAUCCUUUGAGUCGUGGUGACAGCUCUCCUUUUCCCAUGGACAAAAGGAGCAUGGAUUUGAUGCCACAGAACCUGCUGGGCGGGCAGGCAGGGAAAGCCUGCAAGACUGGUGUCGGUUUGCAAAGGGAUGCGGAUGACAUUCUUCCGGGUGACGAUGUGAAGCCGCAAGAUAGUGACCUGUCAGCUGAAGAAAGAAUAUUUUUGGAAGAGUUUCCCAACCUGAAAGGGGAGCUGGAAGUGGACAUCUGGAAGCUCCAGGCCCUUGCAGACCGAAUUGACACAACAAACAAAACACUCACCAAGACCAGUGUGGUGGCCAGUUCCAUCACCGUGGUCUCCGGAGCCAUGAGCAUACUGGGCUUAGUCCUUGCUCCGGCGACAGCAGGGGGAAGCCUGGUGCUCUCCGCUGCAGGUAGAGUUUUGGGGACAGCAGGGGAGGUCAUCAGUAUCUUGACCAACGUUUUGGAACGUUUUCACAGUCAAGAAGCCCAAGCUCAGGUGGGUAGCCUAAUGCCCUCCAGUGGCCAAAAGGCCAGGCAAGCUGGGGUAGACUACAUCAUGGCCGCUGGAAAGGUGAUUCAGAAUUGUAGAAACGCCAUCGAGGGUGUUCAGAAGAGCAUCCGUGCCUUUCAGAUCACCAAGUCUCACCCACGCCUGGCCACUGCUGCCAAGCGCCUCCUGACCACUGGCCAGGUCUCAGCCCAAAGGAGCAGGCAGGUGCAAAGGGCCUUUGAAGGUACCACGCUGGUGAUGAAAACCAAGGCUCGCUUGCUGGGCAGUGCGAUGGCUGGCUUUUCCCUCAGCGUGGACUUGGCCUCCCUCCUUAAGGACUGGAAGCAGCUGAAGGAGGGAGCCAGAACAGAGCUUGCAGCAGAGCUAAGGGCCCGGGCUCGGGAGCUGGAAAGGCAGCUGACACAACUCACCCAGCGCUACGAGAUCCUGCAGCAGACGGUGAGAACCUCUUGCAAGAAAAAAAGCCUAUGAGCUCCUCUUCAGAGGGAACCAUGGGGACCGUGCCUCUGCCACCAGUCAGGCGUGGGGAAGCCGGAUCCCAGCUGCUAUUUUAGAAGUCGUGCAUGGACAUUCAGCACAACUUUUUAAAAUUCAGGAAAGUAAUAAGGGCAGAAAAUAGUGCCCCAGUCAAGGCUGACAGCUGCUGGUUAUUUUGGUGGAGAAUUCUCUUCUGUGCUUUUCUUGCUUUGGGCGUUACUGCCUGCUGGAGACCCUUCUUCAAGGUUGCAUUGUAAAAUAGAUUUUUCCUAUAACCCACUGAGUUUUCUUUCUUUUUCAUUCUCAAUUCCCUCAUUUGUCUGCAGAGCUAUAACCUUCCAUUUUGCUGUUUUCACUUAGGAAUAUUUUCUACCAUUCCAUGUUUCCCUGUGUUUUUAUAGACAUUGUUUUUUUUUGUUGUUGUUGUUACAAACUAUUUUUUGACUGUACCUAUAACUUUUUAAUUAGAUAUAUAUUGGUCAUUACUGUUAAGUGGCCAAAACCAAUUUAAACAGACUUAUACAAAAGAAGAGAAUUUAUUGGCUCAUGAACUUUAAAACCUUAAGGGAACAGUGAGCUUCAGGUGUGAGUGUGUGGACCCAGGGGAUUAAAGUGAUGUCAUCAGGCAUCUGUCUUUCCAUUUCUCAGACAGACUUCUGUCAGGUUCAGCCACCGUGGCCUCAUCACCCCCAGAUGUGCCUGCUGCCGGCUGGGGGCUCCCACGUGGAAAAGGGCAGGGCAAAGUCUAGGGACGCACUCUGAUUGAUCAGUGCUGGUGCUGGUUUCUAAGAUGGGCAAUGGGAACUCUCUUAUGAUCCAGGGUUUUUAAAUAGUUGUCUCCCAGGCUGUGGUUCCUGCUUUUGUUGCUGUCAUUCCCUUUUUAUAAAUUUUUCAUGAGCCUAACAAUAAGUAAAUAGCUUUCACCCCCUUUUAAUAUUGUUCUGUAAGUGUGCAUGAGCAUUGUUCAAGUUCUG